This 377-nucleotide unclassified non-coding RNA is filed under the name soil metagenome. RNAcentral describes it as "partial contains 5.8S ribosomal RNA, internal transcribed spacer 2, and large subunit ribosomal RNA". The stretch from base 1 to 120 matches the Rfam family "5.8S ribosomal RNA", at positions 35 to 154 of the family's 154-position model. The record is from RNAcentral.
GAUGAAGAACGUAGCGAAAUGCGAUAAGUAAUGUGAAUUGCAGAAUUCAGUGAAUCAUCGAAUCUUUGAACGCACCUUGCACCCUUUGGCAUUCCGAAGGGUAUGCUCGUUUGAGUGCCAUUGUACUCUCACACUUCCGAUCUUUGGAUUGGGAGCGGUGGACUUGGGUGUUGCUGCUUACUGUGGCUCACCUCAAAUCGAUUCGUGCACCUCUUGGUUGGACAUAGUACGGCGUGAUAAGUGUCUUCGCCGGCACCUCAGUAGAGGGUGGCUGAUCGGGAGCUCUGCUUCAAACCGUCCUCGGACAACAACUGACAACUUGACCUCAAAUCGAGUAGGACUACCCGCUGAACUUAAGCAUAUCAAUAAGCGGAGGA